This 253-nucleotide ribosomal RNA is filed under the name uncultured bacterium. RNAcentral describes it as "partial 16S ribosomal RNA". It matches the Rfam family "Bacterial small subunit ribosomal RNA", at positions 524 to 776 of the family's 1533-position model. The record is from RNAcentral.
UACGUAGGUGGCAAGCGUUGUUCGGAAUGACUGGGCGUAAAGGGCGCGUAGGCGGCUCGUGAAGUCGGGUGUGAAAGCCCGGGGCUCAACCCCGGAACGGCAUCCGAUACUGGCGGGCUUGAGACCAGGAGAGGAGGGUGGAAUACCCAGUGUAGAGGUGAAAUGCGUAGAUAUCUGGAGGAAUACCGGUGGCGAAGGCGGCAUCCUGGACCGGCAUUGACGCUGAGGAGCGAAAGCCAGGGGAGCAAACGGG